RNAcentral lists this long non-coding RNA (222 nucleotides) under Elaeis guineensis (African oil palm). Its description in RNAcentral is "long non-coding RNA (EGUI_LNC015738)". The record is from RNAcentral. Lineage: Eukaryota; Viridiplantae; Streptophyta; Magnoliopsida; Arecales; Arecaceae.
GUGGCUGUAGAGUAAGGCUUCCAAAGUAGACAUCAAGCUGGUGAUUAUACUCAAUAAGUCCAAUGUGAAGUCACGGGGCAUGCAUGGCUGCUCUUUAAUUUAAUAAAAGUUGACAAGUUGCAUCUGAGGAUUGGUUGAUUCUAUUCGAUCGAGCUUAUAGCAGCUCACGACCACCUGCUUAUGCCAAACUUGGGUAAGAUUAUUUGCAAGAUUUAUAUAGGC